GAUGAAGAACGUAGCGAAAUGCGAUAAGUAGUGUGAAUUGCAGAAUUCAGUGAAUCAUCGAAUCUUUGAACGCACAUUGCGCCCUUUGGUAUUCCUUAGGGCAUGCCUGUUCGAGCGUCAUUUAAACCUUCAAGCUAAGCUUGGUGUUGGGUGACUGUCCGCUUCACUGCGGACUCGCCUCAAAAUUAUUGGCGGCCGGUACAUUGGCUUCGAGCGCAGCAGAAACGCGAACUCGGGCCCGUCGUAUUGGCUCCCAGAAGCUAUCUUCACAAUUUUGACCUCGGAUCAGGUAGGGAUACCCGCUGAACUUAAGCAUAUCAAUAAGCGGGAGGA
This 333-nucleotide unclassified non-coding RNA is filed under the name soil metagenome. RNAcentral describes it as "partial contains 5.8S ribosomal RNA, internal transcribed spacer 2, and large subunit ribosomal RNA". The stretch from base 1 to 120 matches the Rfam family "5.8S ribosomal RNA", at positions 35 to 154 of the family's 154-position model. The record is from RNAcentral.